Molecule: ribosomal RNA, 235 nt
Filed under: uncultured Candidatus Saccharibacteria bacterium
Lineage: Bacteria; Candidatus Saccharimonadota
Description: partial 16S ribosomal RNA
Rfam family: Bacterial small subunit ribosomal RNA
Source: RNAcentral
UAAGCGAGUAGUGAAAGCGUUCGGCUCAACCGAAUAUACAUUACUUGAACUGCUAAGCUUGAGGAUGAGAGAGGUUAUUGGAAUUCCCAGUGUAGGAGUGAAAUCCGUAGAUAUUGGGAGGAACACCGAUGGCGUAGGCAGAUAACUGGCUCAUUCCUGACACUAAGGCACGAAAGCGUAGGUAGCAAACGGGAUUAGAUACCCCGGUAGUCUACGCCGUAAACGAUGGAUGCUA